GCCGCAGUAGCUCAGUGGUAGAGCACGUCAUUGGUAAUGACGGGGUCGGAAGUUCAAUUCUUCUCUGCGGCACCA
RNAcentral lists this transfer RNA (75 nucleotides) under Pseudomonadota bacterium. Its description in RNAcentral is "Proteobacteria bacterium tRNA-Thr". It matches the Rfam family "tRNA". From Rfam's summary of the family: Transfer RNA (tRNA) molecules are approximately 80 nucleotides in length. Their secondary structure includes four short double-helical elements and three loops (D, anti-codon, and T loops). Lineage: Bacteria; Pseudomonadati; Pseudomonadota. The record is from RNAcentral. RNAcentral also lists the same sequence under 1 other name.